This 254-nucleotide ribosomal RNA is filed under the name uncultured bacterium. Its description in RNAcentral is "partial 16S ribosomal RNA". It matches the Rfam family "Bacterial small subunit ribosomal RNA", at positions 524 to 776 of the family's 1533-position model. The record is from RNAcentral.
UACGUAGGGUGCGAGCGUUGUCCGGAAUUAUUGGGCGUAAAGAGCUCGUAGGCGGUCUGUCGCGUCGAUCGUGAAAACUUGGGGCUUAACCCUGAGCUUGCGGUCGAUACGGGCAUGACUGGAGUUCAGCAGGGGAGACUGGAAUUCCUGGUGUAGCGGUGAAAUGCGCAGAUAUCAGGAGGAACACCGGUGGCGAAGGCGGCAUCCUGGACCGGCAUUGACGCUGAGGCGCGAAAGCCAGGGGAGCAAACGGG